Molecule: long non-coding RNA, 999 nt
Organism: Zingiber officinale
Lineage: Eukaryota; Viridiplantae; Streptophyta; Magnoliopsida; Zingiberales; Zingiberaceae
Exons: 2
Source: RefSeq, a predicted model, not a curated record
UAUUUUUUCUAGACCCUAGUUUUCUACAGCCAAUCAUCGAGGAGCAAUAAUGCAGCCGCUUUGAUUCCCAUGAACAGUAAAAUAGUGGGUAGGAUGGGAAAAGAACAAAGGCAGACAAAUAGGAAGGCGAUGUCUUUAAAGCAGAGUGCAGAAACCCAAAUUCCUCCCCCCUUCCCCUUCCUCCUCCUCCUCCUCCCCAAUCCUCACUCUCCGUUCGUCGGUCGAUCGAUCGAGAUGGUGCAUCCGCCCGAGCCAAUCGGCCGGAGGUGGUGGGAUCGCGACCGCGGCCGAGUCGGCCUCGGCAUCGCCGUGGCCCUCGACCACGACGACGCCGGACCCAGCCCCAGGAAGCUCCACGCCGCGGCGCCGAUGAUGAUCUGUUCGCCGAGAGUGAGAUGUGGAUCCUCCGCUCCGACCGGCCGCGCUGGGUUUACUGUGGGGUUCUGCGGUGGAGCGAGGGCUCGAGUCGGCGACUCGCCGGCGGGAGGAGUCUAGCGCUGCUGACUUCCUCAGCGAUUGCUACGUGUGCAGGAAGAAGCUCCACGGCGAAGAUAUCUUCAUGUACAGAGAGAAGGCGUUCUGUAGCAUGGAGUGUCGUUACAAGAAGAUGGUGGCCGACGAGUACCAGGAGCAACACGUCUCAAAAGCCCGCAAACGAUCGACGGAGAUCGCCAGCUCCCCCUGCUCCGGCGGCCAACUCUUCUUCACCGGCAUCGUCGUCACAUAAUUACAUACGCAAAAACUGGCAGAAAUCAUACCCAGGCGGCGAGAUCGGGCAUCACUUGAUGCGUCGAUAGAUAUGAACUUUUCAAUUUUGAAUUAGAUUAAUGUUUUGGGAGUUUCAAAAGGAAACUACAAUCAAACGAGAAGUCUAAAUUUCCCCCAAAUUGAGACUGUAAUAUCUUCCUCCACCUGUAAUUGUUUUUCCCCCAAAGAGUGGCUUUAAAUUGUAUUGAAUAACAUCUUGAAGUAGGCAAAGUAGCUGCAGAAGAGUUCAUA